RNAcentral lists this ribosomal RNA (433 nucleotides) under uncultured bacterium. RNAcentral describes it as "partial 16S ribosomal RNA". It matches the Rfam family "Bacterial small subunit ribosomal RNA", at positions 29 to 507 of the family's 1533-position model. The record is from RNAcentral.
AACGAACGCUGGCGGCAUGCCUAACACAUGCAAGUCGAACGAGACCUUCGGGUCUAGUGGCGCACGGGUGCGUAACGCGUGGGAACCUGCCCUUAGGUUCGGAAUAACUCCCCGAAAGGGGUGCUAAUACCGGAUAAUGUCUUCGGACCAAAGAUUUAUCGCCUUUGGAUGGGCCCGCGUUGGAUUAGCUAGUUGGUAGUGUAAAAGCCUACCAAGGCGACGAUCCAUAGCUGGUCUGAGAGGAUGAUCAGCCACACUGGGACUGAGACACGGCCCAGACUCCUACGGGAGGCAGCAGUGGGGAAUAUUGGACAAUGGGCGAAAGGCUGAUCCAGCAAUGCCGCGUGAGUGAUGAAGGCCUUAGGGUUGUAAAGCUCUUUUACCCGGGAUGAUAAUGACAGUACCGGGAGAAUAAGCUCCGGCUAACUCCGUG